GCUUUGGAAGACACCCUGAAGUAUAGGUGAGAAGCUCUUUGUUUGAAACAUUAACAACCACCACCGCCCUAGACAAGCAAAUGAAGCAUAGUUAUUUUUUAAAGAACACAAAUUAAGUGUUCAAACUGCACUUUCCCCUUGAAUUAUGUAACUCACAAAGAAAAAUUUGAAAGGAUUGAGAAAGCACCAUCAAAACAAAAUCGAG
Molecule: unclassified non-coding RNA, 205 nt
Organism: Ursus americanus (American black bear)
Lineage: Eukaryota; Metazoa; Chordata; Mammalia; Carnivora; Ursidae
Source: Ensembl